RNAcentral lists this ribosomal RNA (136 nucleotides) under uncultured bacterium. RNAcentral describes it as "partial 16S ribosomal RNA". The record is from RNAcentral.
CUUCUGCAGGUACCGUCACUUUCGCUUCUUCCCUGCUGAAAGCGGUUUACAACCCGAAGGCCUUCAUCCCGCACGCGGCGUCGCUGGGUCAGAGUUUCCUCCAUUGCCCAAUAUUCCCCACUGCUGCCUCCCGUAG